This 409-nucleotide ribosomal RNA is filed under the name Fusobacteriota bacterium. Its description in RNAcentral is "Fusobacteria bacterium partial 16S ribosomal RNA". It matches the Rfam family "Bacterial small subunit ribosomal RNA", at positions 355 to 776 of the family's 1533-position model. The record is from RNAcentral. Lineage: Bacteria; Fusobacteriati; Fusobacteriota.
UGGGGAAUAUUGCACAAUGGCGGGAACUCUGAUGCAGCAACGCCGCGUGCGGGAUGACGGCCUUCGGGUUGUAAACCGCUUUCAGCCAUGACGAAGCUUUUGUGACGGUAGUGGUAGAAGAAGCACCGGCUAACUACGUGCCAGCAGCCGCGGUGAUACGUAGGGUGCGAGCGUUGUCCGGAAUUAUUGGGCGUAAAGAGCUUGUAGGCGGUUUGUCGCGUCGAUAGUGUAAACACGCAGCUUAACUGUGUGCCUGCUGUCGAUACGGGCUGACUAGAGGAGGGUAGGGGGGAAUGGAAUUCCCGGUGGAGCGGUGGAAUGCGCAGAUAUCGGGAGGAACACCAGUGGCGAAGGCGGUUCUCUGGACCUUUCCUGACGCUGAGAAGCGAAAGCGUGGGUAGCAAACAGG